CGGGGUAAAGCAUUUUUAUGCAUCUCUUUUACACUGAGAAGAAAAUAACUCUUUAUUUACUCCGC
This 65-nucleotide transfer RNA is filed under the name Drieschia cf. elegans BG-2021. Its description in RNAcentral is "tRNA-Val". The record is from RNAcentral. Lineage: Eukaryota; Metazoa; Annelida; Polychaeta; Phyllodocida; Polynoidae.